AUUGAACGCUGGCGGCAUGCUUUACACAUGCAAGUCGAACGGUAACAGGUUAAGCUGACGAGUGGCGAACGGGUGAGUAAUGCAUCGGAACGUGCCCGAUCGUGGGGGAUAACGCAGCGAAAGCUGCGCUAAUACCGCAUACGAUCUGAGGAUGAAAGCGGGGGACCGUAAGGCCUCGCGCGAUCAGAGCGGCCGAUGUCAGAUUAGGUAGUUGGUGGGGGAAAGGCUCACCAAGCCGACGAUCUGUAGCUGGUCUGAGAGGACGACCAGCCACACUGGGACUGAGACACGGCCCAGACUCCUACGGGAGGCAGCAGUGGGGAAUUUUGGACAAUGGGCGAAAGCCUGAUCCAGCAAUGCCGCGUGCAGGAAGAAGGCCUUCGGGUUGUAAACUGCUUUUGUACGGAGCGAAAAGGCUCUCUCUAAUACAGGGGGCUCAUGACGGUACCGUAAGAAUAAGCACCGGCUAACUACGUGCCAGCCGCCGCGGUAA
Molecule: ribosomal RNA, 493 nt
Filed under: uncultured bacterium
Lineage: Bacteria
Description: partial 16S ribosomal RNA
Rfam family: Bacterial small subunit ribosomal RNA
Source: RNAcentral